This 520-nucleotide ribosomal RNA is filed under the name uncultured bacterium. RNAcentral describes it as "bacterial SSU rRNA". It matches the Rfam family "Archaeal small subunit ribosomal RNA", at positions 345 to 866 of the family's 1478-position model. The record is from RNAcentral.
AACCUCCGCAAUGUGAGAAAUCGCGACGGGGGGAUCCCAAGUGCCAUUCUUAACGGGAUGGCUUUUCUUAAGUGUAAAAAGCUUUUGGAAUAAGAGCUGGGCAAGACCGGUGCCAGCCGCCGCGGUAACACCGGCAGCUCUAGUGGUAGCUGUUUUUAUUGGGCCUAAAGCGUUCGUAGCCGGUUUGAUAAGUCACUGGUGAAAUCCUGUAGCUUAACUGUGGGAAUUGCUGGUGAUACUGUUGAACUUGAGGUCGGGAGAGGUUAGCGGUACUCCCAGGGUAGAGGUGAAAUUCUGUAAUCCUGGGAGGACCACCUGUGGCGAAGGCGGCUAACUGGAACGAACCUGACGGUGAGGGACGAAAGCUAGGGGCGCGAACCGGAUUAGAUACCCGGGUAGUCCUAGCCGUAAACGAUGCGGACUUGGUGUUGGGAUGGCUUUGAGCCGCUCCGGUGCCGAAGGGAGCUGUUAAGUCCGCCGCCUGGGAAGUACGGUCGCAAGACUGAAACUUAAAGGAAGU